Molecule: ribosomal RNA, 869 nt
Filed under: uncultured archaeon
Lineage: Archaea
Description: bacterial SSU rRNA
Rfam family: Archaeal small subunit ribosomal RNA
Source: RNAcentral
UUCCGGUUGAUCCUGCCGGACCUGACUGCUAUCGGAUUGGUACUAAGCCAUGCGAGUCAUUGUAGCAAUACAAGGCGGACGGCUCAGUAACACGUAGUCAACCUAACUCGUGGACGUGGAUAACCUCGGGAAACUGAGAAUAAACCACGAUAGACCAUAGUGCCUGGAAUGGCUUAUGGUCCAAACAGUUUACUGCCAUGGGAUGGGACUGCGGCCUAUCAGCUUGUUGGUGAGGUAAUGGCCCACCAAGGCGAUUACAGGUACGGGCUCUGAGAGGAGAAGCCCGGAGAUGGGUACUGAGACACGGACCCAGGCCCUAUGGGGCGCAGCAGGCGAGAAACCUUAGCAAUGUGCGAAAGCACGACUGGGUCAGUCCGAGUGAUUCCUGAUAAAGGAGUCUUUUGCUUGUCCUAAAAGCACAGGUGAAUAAGGGGUGGGCAAGUCUGGUGUCAGCCGCCGCGGUAAUACCAGCACCUCGAGUGGUCAGGACGUUUAUUGGGCCUAAAGCAUCCGUAGCCGGCUUUGCAAGUCUUCGGUUAAAUCCACCUGCUCAACAGAUGGGCUGCUGGAGAUACUACAAAGCUAGGGAGUGGGAGAGGCAGACGGUAUUCAGUGGGUAGGGGUAAAAUCCUCUGAUCCAUUGAGGACCACCAGUGGCGAAGGCGGUCUGCCAGAACACGUUCGACGGUGAGGGAUGAAAGCUGGGGGAGCAAACCGGAUUAGAUACCCGGGUAGUCCCAGCUGUAAACGAUGCAAACUCGGUGAUGCAUUGGCUUAUGGCCAAUGCAGUGCCGCAGGGAAGCCGUUAAGUUUGCCGCCUGGGAAGUACGGACGCAAGUCUGAAACUUAAAGGAAUUGGCGGGGGAGCA